CAGUCGCCGCGGUAAUACGAAGGGGGCUAGCGUUGCUCGGAAUCACUGGGCGUAAAGGGCGCGUAGGCGGAUCUUUAAGUCAGAGGUGAAAGCCCAAGGCUCAACCUCGGAAUUGCCUUUGAUACUGGGGAUCUCGAGACCGGUAGAGGUAAGUGGAACUGCGAGUGUAGAGGUGAAAUUCGUAGAUAUUCGCAAGAACACCAGUGGCGAAGGCGGCUUACUGGACCGGUUCUGACGCUGAGGCGCGAAAGCGUGGGGAGCAAACAGGAUUAGAUACCCCCGUAGUCCCUGUCUCUUAUAC
Molecule: ribosomal RNA, 301 nt
Filed under: uncultured bacterium
Lineage: Bacteria
Description: partial 16S ribosomal RNA
Rfam family: Bacterial small subunit ribosomal RNA
Source: RNAcentral